AUAUGCACCAUACGUUUAAAGCACAUUCCCCUCCCGCAAAGAAUCCUGGGAUUCUUUGGGGAGGGGGAUGAGCUUUAAAUGUAUGGUGUGUAC
This is a non-coding RNA of Podarcis lilfordi (Lilford's wall lizard), 93 nucleotides long. The record is from the annotation of a GenBank genome assembly. Lineage: Eukaryota; Metazoa; Chordata; Lepidosauria; Squamata; Lacertidae.